Molecule: long non-coding RNA, 286 nt
Filed under: Elaeis guineensis (African oil palm)
Lineage: Eukaryota; Viridiplantae; Streptophyta; Magnoliopsida; Arecales; Arecaceae
Description: long non-coding RNA (EGUI_LNC052330)
Source: RNAcentral
AAAAUUUUGAUUGAUGGAGUGACGUCAUCUGAUCACAUCAGAUAAGAACUCCACCCUCUCUCCUAAGUUGGCGCCAACAUUGGAUAAGCUCAAGCAAGGUGGCGCCAAAGAGUCCAUGUUUAUCAGGACUCUUUGGUUCUUAUCCAUUUGGGGCGCCCACUUUAAUCCAAUUUGGGCUCAUGCCAUAAUCUUAUUAUGGCACCCAAUUCAAUUAGGUUUUGACAUGUGGACACUCCAUAAAAAUCUCCCAAUGAGCUCUCUUCAGUUUAAGACCCAUAUAUCAACA